RNAcentral lists this ribosomal RNA (473 nucleotides) under uncultured organism. RNAcentral describes it as "partial 16S ribosomal RNA". It matches the Rfam family "Bacterial small subunit ribosomal RNA", at positions 335 to 799 of the family's 1533-position model. The record is from RNAcentral.
ACUCCUACGGGAGGCAGCAGUGGGGAAUUUUGGACAAUGGGCGAAAGCCUGAUCCAGCCAUGCCGCGUGCAGGAUGAAGGCCUUCGGGUUGUAAACUGCUUUUGUACGGAACGAAACGGCCUUUUCUAAUAAAGAGGGCUAAUGACGGUACCGUAAGAAUAAGCACCGGCUAACUACGUGCCAGCAGCCGCGGUAAUACGUAGGGUGCAAGCGUUAAUCGGAAUUACUGGGCGUAAAGCGUGCGCAGGCGGUUAUGUAAGACAGUUGUGAAAUCCCCGGGCUCAACCUGGGAACUGCAUCUGUGACUGCAUAGCUAGAGUACGGUAGAGGGGGAUGGAAUUCCGCGUGUAGCAGUGAAAUGCGUAGAUAUGCGGAGGAACACCGAUGGCGAAGGCAAUCCCCUGGACCUGUACUGACGCUCAUGCACGAAAGCGUGGGGAGCAAACAGGAUUAGAAACCCCAGUAGUCCCAUG